UACGUAGGUGGCAAGCGUUGUCCGGAUCUACUGGGUGUAAAGGGCGUGUAGCCGGGUUGACAAGUCAGAUGUGAAAUCCUGCGGCUUAACCGCAGAACUGCAUUUGAAACUGUUGAUCUUGAGUACUGGAGGGGCAGACGGAAUUCCUAGUGUAGCGGUGAAAUGCGUAGAUAUUAGGAGGAACACCAGUGGCGAAGGCGGUCUGCUGGACAGCAACUGACGGUGAGGCGCGAAAGCGUGGGGAGCAAACAGG
Molecule: ribosomal RNA, 253 nt
Filed under: uncultured bacterium
Lineage: Bacteria
Description: partial 16S ribosomal RNA
Rfam family: Bacterial small subunit ribosomal RNA
Source: RNAcentral